This is a non-coding RNA of Miniopterus natalensis, 360 nucleotides long. NCBI's taxonomy places the organism in Eukaryota, Metazoa, Chordata, Mammalia, Chiroptera, Miniopteridae. The record is from RefSeq and is a predicted model, not a curated record.
GAGACUCCUCGCUCUGGGCUGCUCCGGGCCAGGCCAUGCGGUGUUUGUCCUGGCAGAUCCUGGCCUUUAGGAAGACUCCGAGUCCCUGAGAGACCCUGCCCACCCCCAUUUCUUCUCUGACCCAGGGUGCAGGCUACUUUCGGGGCCAUGGCCUUUUCAUCAAGAUUUGCCUUCUGGGAGCAAAAGGAAAGUUGGAUUUCAAAACCUUUAUGCUUUUCCUAUGUGCUUGGCAUGGUGUGUGCCGGCAGGAGACUGGCUUGGGAGAGAGGGAGCUUUGGAAACUGGAGAUGGACUGGGGCAUGUGUGCAUAUUUGGGGGUUGGGGAGACUAACCAGGGGGCCAGUGGACUCACUCUGCUGU